UGUUCUAGCGGCGGACGGGUGAGUAACGCGUGAACAAUCUGUCCCAGACAGGGGGAUAACACUUGGAAACAGGUGCUAAUACCGCAUAAGACCACGAGACCACAUGAUCUUGAGGUAAAAGGAGCAAUCCGGUUUGGGGUGAGUUCGCGUCCGAUUAGCUAGUUGGCGAGGUAACGGCCCACCAAGGCGACGAUCGGUAGCCGACCUGAGAGGGUGAUCGGCCACAUUGGAACUGAGAGACGGUCCAAACUCCUACGGGAGGCAGCAGUGGGGAAUAUUGGGCAAUGGGCGAAAGCCUGACCCAGCAACGCCGCGUGAGGGAAGAAGGUUUUCGGAUUGUAAACCUCUGUCCUCAGGGACGAAGGAAGUGACGGUACCUGAGGAGGAAGCCCCGGCUAACUACGUGCCAGCAGCCGCGGUAAUACGUAGGGGGCGAGCGUUGUCCGGAAUGACUGGGCGUAAAGGGCGUGUAGGCGGCUUUUUAAGUCUGGAGUGAAAGUCCUGCUUUCAAGGUGGGAAUUGCUUUGGAGACUGGAGAGCUUGAGUGCGGAAGAGGUAAGUGGAAUUCCCAGUGUAGCGGUGAAAUGCGUAGAGAUUGGGAGGAACACCAGUGGCGAAGGCGACUUACUGGGCCGUAACUGACGCUGAGGCGCGAAAGCGUGGGGAGCGAACAGGAUUAGAUACCCUGGUUAGUCCACGCUGUAAACGAUGAAUGCUAGGUGUUGCGGGUAUCGACCCCU
This 740-nucleotide ribosomal RNA is filed under the name uncultured bacterium. RNAcentral describes it as "bacterial SSU rRNA". It matches the Rfam family "Bacterial small subunit ribosomal RNA", at positions 88 to 840 of the family's 1533-position model. The record is from RNAcentral.